RNAcentral lists this ribosomal RNA (1587 nucleotides) under Triticum aestivum (bread wheat). RNAcentral's name for it is "partial small subunit ribosomal RNA". The record is from RNAcentral. Lineage: Eukaryota; Viridiplantae; Streptophyta; Magnoliopsida; Poales; Poaceae.
AUGGAUGGAUCAAGUGUUCCCUACGAAGGCUUUGAACUUGAUCAGCCAUUGAUCAACUGCGCCCGGAAGUGCGCGGGGAAGGUUGAGGCCCGACCGCGGCCGCGCUUGGGAAAGCUGCCGACGGUGACGACGGGAAGGAGGAAGGUGGAGACGGGGUGGUUAGAUUCUUUUUUGCGCUUAAUUGGGCCAUCACGUGCAAUUGUGUUAACAGACAUAGUUGACAUUGAAAUCCAACUGAAAGUGAAAGGUCCAACAAUGUCUCAAGAUAAAGCAUUGAUCAGCUAUGUCGCCAAUUAUAGUGGAGGAGGUCUUGGCGUAUCGACCCUUUGCAUUGAUAAUUGUUUGUGUACACUGGAGUUAUGCUUGCAGCAUGUCAAACGAACAGUCCAGGCUACCAUCUUGAGUGUCCAAGUUGUCAAGUGUGGUUCAUGGCCGUUUGAAUAUGGUGGCCGAGUUGCUUGCUCCUCAGCUUCACGGGAAACGGUGGUCACUGAUAGUGGAGUCACUUGUGCUAUUAAUCCCUCAUCUAGCCAAAUUGUAAUGCUUGAAUCAAAAGAUGGAGCAAUGCUGAAAGGUCUUAAUGGUCACAUAUACCUGCCGAGGCAAGUUGUUUCUGUAGAAAUUGAAGGAGUGUUGGACAUUGCCAUAGAAGCCUACACAAAAUCUGGUGAUAUCGGUGCACAGGGUCGUAUUUGUUUCGCGCCCCAGUCUAAAAUUCUACAAUUAUCACUGUACCGCACGUCUCCCACUGUCAACCUUCGCUCCAAAAAAAAACACCCAUCGCUCCUCCCCCCUUGCACGACCCCCACGCGCCCAGCUGCUACUUGCGCUUCCUGCACGUCCCCCACACGCCCAACGCAACCUCCUCACCUCUCCCCCGCUCGCCUCUGGCCUCACUCCCUUCCCUUCAUAAUGCCCCUCCCCGUCGGUGUUCCCGUCGGCUCCCUCCCUCUGCAACAUCACCUUUCGUGCGGCAGCACGAUGUUGCCUUCCCAUGGGCCGCCCCCCACGCUCCUCGACAACCUGGUCACCACCACCCCCGACCCAAAGAAGGAUGGUGGCCUGGUGGGGGUGGGUACACUGCAGUCGACGAACACGGCUCAGAGCAGUCUGCUGACAAUGGGCCAACGCUGGGAGGGAGGUGUCGCACCGCCGCAGGAGAACGGAGCAGAGCACAUGAUAACACGAGAGGGGGGGGGCAACUUACCAAACCAACCGCCAUGGUCACCCUGGAUUGGAUCCACCUUCCUGCACAUGUCGUCGUUACCGUCCUACGCCGCCACUACGCCAGCGCCUCCUUCAGGCACUGCACAGCGGCUGCUCCACCUCGCCAUUGCCUUCACACGGAGCAACCGAUCAGGGUGGAACAAUAGGGUGUUGGAGCACCUCCUCGUCCGCGGCCUGAGUUUAGCCUCCCGCGCGGAUGUACGUUGCCUUCCCUUCCUCUCCUCCGUCAUGGCCUCUGAUCAUGGGGCGAUGGGAGAGAAUUUUGGAGCUUGGUGGUGGGACGUGGAGGAGGCGGCUGUAUUGUCUCGGGAUGAAGGAGAGACAAUUUAUAGAUCUACAACAGCGGUGGAGGGGACAUGA